CUUGGACUUUCAAGCAUUUCACCAUUCAAUAUAUUCAAUCUCUUAUUGAUAUUACACUCGAAUUAGAUGACUAACAAGUGCCAUCAUGAACCUAUUAAUUAGAGCCAAUCCCAAGAUCAAGAGAUGUUCAAUUAUAUAUGUCCGAGUGACUAAACACAUUAAAUAAGUUCAAAUCAAUUAGGAUAAUAUCUCAUGUAAUGUGGGACUUAUCAAAGUUUAUUAGAUUUCUCCUAUAUUUAAUCUCACAAAUUAUCUCAAAAACCAUGGGCAUAAAUGUAAACCUGAAAUUCGACUUAAUGGAAAAAAUGACUUUGAGUUUGUAAAAGUUAAGAUCUUGAAAUUCACCAAAUGCUAGAUUCGUUAUUAGAAGGGACUCAUUUUGACCAUAUCUACAGUUCAAAUUAAACUUUUAUUUUUUUGGGAUUGAUUAUCGAGAUGAAAUGAGCUUGUGUGCAAAAUUUUGGGUCAUACAAAUACCACAAAUAUAGUUUUAUAGAAGUGUGGUCAAAUUUAAUGGUGAUCCUUUGUGGUCCUACACAUAUAGGUGUAGGAGAGUCUCAUAUGAUCAUUACUCAAUAUAUAUCCUUUGUGGUCCUACACAUAUAGGUGUAGGAGAGUCUCA
RNAcentral lists this long non-coding RNA (622 nucleotides) under Amborella trichopoda. Its description in RNAcentral is "long non-coding RNA (ATRI_LNC000581)". The record is from RNAcentral. Lineage: Eukaryota; Viridiplantae; Streptophyta; Magnoliopsida; Amborellales; Amborellaceae.